This 222-nucleotide long non-coding RNA is filed under the name Setaria viridis. RNAcentral's name for it is "long non-coding RNA (SVIR_LNC008665)". Lineage: Eukaryota; Viridiplantae; Streptophyta; Magnoliopsida; Poales; Poaceae. The record is from RNAcentral.
CCGUUGUUUUGGCAAUGGGAGGCAAGAGGGAAGUGCACAUCAGAUGAACCGCAGAAGCUGGGGAGACAGAUGCUAGAGUCGAUGUGAAAUGAAUACCGUGGUAAAAUACUUCGCGGUACCCAAUCUGGCUGCCAGCGAGGCAUAGAAGUGUCCUCCUACAGUAUCGUAUUGCACGGUUUCCUUCACUUCUUGCCAUUGUAUACAUUGAAAGGUUGCCACGGU